GCGUGACCAACCUGCCCAUGCUCCAGAAUAGCUCUUGGAAACGGGUGGUAAUGCUGGAUGCUCCAACUUGACGCAUGUCUUGUUGGGAAAGUGUUUAGUGGCAUGGGAUGGGGUCGCGUCCUAUCAGCUUGUAGGCGGGGUAAUGGCCCACCUAGGCUUCGACGGGUAGCCGGCCUGAGAGGGCGGACGGCCACAUUGGGACUGAGAUACGGCCCAGACUCCUACGGGAGGCAGCAGAC
RNAcentral lists this ribosomal RNA (239 nucleotides) under uncultured Gardnerella sp. RNAcentral describes it as "partial 16S ribosomal RNA". It matches the Rfam family "Bacterial small subunit ribosomal RNA", at positions 115 to 354 of the family's 1533-position model. The record is from RNAcentral. Lineage: Bacteria; Bacillati; Actinomycetota; Actinomycetes; Bifidobacteriales; Bifidobacteriaceae.